RNAcentral lists this ribosomal RNA (365 nucleotides) under Streptococcus oralis. Its description in RNAcentral is "bacterial SSU rRNA". It matches the Rfam family "Bacterial small subunit ribosomal RNA", at positions 1 to 354 of the family's 1533-position model. Lineage: Bacteria; Bacillati; Bacillota; Bacilli; Lactobacillales; Streptococcaceae. The record is from RNAcentral.
UUAUUGGAGAGUUUGAUCCUGGCUCAGGAUGAACGCUGGCGGCGUGCCUAAUACAUGCAAGUCGAGCGAAUGGAUUGAGAGCUUGCUCUUAUGAAGUUAGCGGCGGACGGGUGAGUAACACGUGGGUAACCUGCCCAUAAGACUGGGAUAACUCCGGGAAACCGGGGCUAAUACCGGAUAACAUUUUGAACUGCAUGGUUCGAAAUUGAAAGGCGGCUUCGGCUGUCACUUAUGGAUGGACCCGCGUCGCAUUAGCUAGUUGGUGAGGUAACGGCUCACCAAGGCAACGAUGCGUAGCCGACCUGAGAGGGUGCUCGGCCACACUGGGACUGAGCCACGGCCCAGACUCCUACGCGAGGCAGCAG